CUUUUUAAGCUUAGUGGCGAACGGGUGAGUAACGCGUGAGUAACCUGCCCUAGAGUGGGGGACAACAGUUGGAAACGACUGCUAAUACCGCAUAAGCCCACGGUACCGCAUGGUACUGAGGGAAAAGGAUUUAUUCGCUUUAGGAUGGACUCGCGUCCAAUUAGCUAGUUGGCGGGGUAACAGCCCACCAAGACGAUGAUAGGUAGGGGUUCUGAGAGGAAGGUCCCCCACAUUGGAACUGAGACACGGUCCAA
This 254-nucleotide ribosomal RNA is filed under the name uncultured bacterium. RNAcentral describes it as "partial 16S ribosomal RNA". It matches the Rfam family "Bacterial small subunit ribosomal RNA", at positions 82 to 334 of the family's 1533-position model. The record is from RNAcentral.